ACAAGCGGUGGAGUAUGUGGUUUAAUUCGAUGCAACGCGAGAACCUUACCUGGUCUUGACAUCCCGGAGACCCUUAGGAAACUAGGGGGUGGCUUCCAUCUGGAAGAAGUCUGGGGACAGGUGCUGCAUGGCUGUCGUCAGCUCGUGUCGUGAGAUGUUGGGUUAAGUCCCGCAACGAGCGCAACCCUUGCCUUUAGUUGCCAGCAGUUCGGCUGGGCACUCUAAAGGGACUGCCGGUGGUUAAACCGGAGGAAGUGGGGAUGACGUCAAGUCCUCAUGGCCUUUAUGACCAGGGCUACACACGUACUACAAUGGCCGAUACAAAGGGCAGCGACACUGCGAGGUGAAGCCAAUCCCGUAAAAUCGGUCUCAGUCCGGAUUGGAGUCUGCAACUCGACUCCAUGAAGUUGGAAUCGCUAGUAAUCGUGGAUCAGCAUGCCACGGUGAAUACGUUCCCGGGCCUU
RNAcentral lists this ribosomal RNA (464 nucleotides) under uncultured Desulfobulbus sp. Its description in RNAcentral is "bacterial SSU rRNA". It matches the Rfam family "Bacterial small subunit ribosomal RNA", at positions 925 to 1382 of the family's 1533-position model. Lineage: Bacteria; Pseudomonadati; Thermodesulfobacteriota; Desulfobulbia; Desulfobulbales; Desulfobulbaceae. The record is from RNAcentral.